GUAAAUAUUAGCCCACAGUGGUAAAUAUUAGCCCACAUUGUAGCAAGUUUCACCCCAAUCGCUUUAAAAAUGAGGGAGAUAGGAGCCCCUGAAGUUUCCCCAGUAACAGUCAUUUAAUUAUGUGCAUGCAUAGUUUGGGAAGUGAGGAGCCAUAUGCUGCCCUAAACUACAUUUCCCAGACUGCCUCAGCUUCAAAAAGCACCAAUCAGGAUAGCGGAGAGAGAUCUGUCCCUCCCUAAUAGCAGCCAGAAUCUGCAAAGAGGAGGACUGACUGAUACAUCUCUCUCUAAUAAGUCUUGUAUAAUCAUGGACAUGAAGCAGAAAGAAAGAGCAUUGAGUUCUUGCCCAAAGAAGGAUAUACCGCUGCUGACAUCCACAGAAGUCUUAGAAAUGUAUAUGGUGAGGUGACAACUGAUGAGAGCAAUAUGUGAAUAUGAGUGGGAAAGUCUUAAAAAAGUGAAUCCAGUGCAGAAGAUAAACAAGGUAAUGGAAGACCACUGAUAGCAGUCACUAAUGAAAACCAAACCAAGGUGGAUGAUAUGAUUCACACAGACUAGUGUAUGACUGUCCAAGAGAUGAUUGAGGAACCUGACUGUGUUCACAGUAAUCUUGAGCAGAUUAUCAACAAUAUUGGAUGCAUGAAAGUGUGUGCCAAAUGAGUUCCUCAUCAUUUAGUAGCCAAUUUGAAAGAGAAGAGAUUACAUACUUGUUUAGAAUUGUUGCCAGCAUUUGAAGUUCAUGAGGGUACCUUUUCCAUGAAUGUUUGCAUUGAUAAUGAUACCAGAGCAUAUCUGUAUGACCCAAGGACCAAGACUCAGUCCAUGGACUAGUGGCACUUUACCUCUCCUAGACCAAAGAAAUUCAGAAGUCAGCAUUUAGUACAGAAGAUAAUAGCGAGUGUCUUCUAUCAUGACAAGAGGGUGGUUUUGCUUGAUUUCCUUGAGUGUGGUACAACAAUGAAUAGCGACGAUCACAUUGCAUCACUUCAGAAACGUCAAGAAUCUAUCCAUUAGAACAGUGGUUCCUAACCUUUUUUUUGAUCAGGGGUCACUUUGACUAGGGACCACUCUCCAACAUUAGUACACAAAGUGUUACAAAUAAGUUUUUGGUAAACGUUAGGUUCAGUUUGGUUAUUUAAGGUGUUGAUUCAGAAAAUUGCAUCGGAUAGACCACUUCAGCUCUAAUUUCUGAAACA
This 1195-nucleotide long non-coding RNA is filed under the name Anolis carolinensis (green anole). RNAcentral describes it as "lncRNA (ENSACAG00000039191.1)". The record is from RNAcentral. Lineage: Eukaryota; Metazoa; Chordata; Lepidosauria; Squamata; Anolidae.